GACGAACCGUACAAACGUUAUUCGGAAUCACUGGGCUUAAAGGGUGCGUAGGCGGCGCGGAAAGUAGGGUGUGAAAUCCCUCGGCUCAACCGAGGAAUUGCGCCCUAGACUACCGUGCUCGAGGGAGAUAGAGGUGAGCGGAACUUAGGGUGGAGCGGUGAAAUGCGUUGAUAUCCUAAGGAACACCGGUGGCGAAAGCGGCUCACUGGAUCUCUUCUGACGCUGAGGCACGAAAGCUAGGGUAGCGAACGGG
This 253-nucleotide ribosomal RNA is filed under the name uncultured bacterium. Its description in RNAcentral is "partial 16S ribosomal RNA". It matches the Rfam family "Bacterial small subunit ribosomal RNA", at positions 524 to 776 of the family's 1533-position model. The record is from RNAcentral.